GUUUUUUUUUUUUUUUUUCUCCUGCAACUAUGCAAAAUUCUGAAUCUGUUGGGCGUGCAUGUUGGUUGGCCUAUGUUCCUUAGGAAACUGCACCGUUGAAUCUGCUUGAAUUACUUCUAAUGCCAUUUUAUACUUUAUUAAUAUGUUGGCUAGAAUGUUUGCAUAUGAAGGCACAAGUAUACCUGAUUAUGUAGGUGGAUAACAAUCUUUUGCAAUCAUAGUGUGGUUUCUUUUUGAGACUUCCAUCCGUUUUCUUAGAAGAAAAAUUUCCUUCCACUGGUAUGUGCAAAGCAGUGUGUCCAAUUUGGGCCACACAAUUUCAUCUGCCCACAGAAUUUUAAAAGUGGAGUUGUCCUGAAACGGUGAGUGUACCUUUUAAGGCCCCUUGGUUUAUGCACUAUUCAUUGUAUCUUAUCUCGUCACGCCGUGCGAGUCAGAAAAAACCAAAAAGAGAAGAAAGGAAAAACACUUGAUGCCAUGCGUAUGUAGAUAUUGUAAUCGAGUGUGGUGGGGGCUGUAUCCUAAUGUAUUUCCUUAAUCAGAUUAGCUAAUUACUACUGAUAGUUGGCAUUUUAUCCUGUUGCUGAUAACUUUUAAUUGUGCUUUUAAAACAUGCAGAGUGGAUCUUUAAUGGAUAGUAAUUUCCACAGCAUGGCUAUGCCUCUGAU
RNAcentral lists this unclassified non-coding RNA (668 nucleotides) under Hevea brasiliensis (rubber tree). Lineage: Eukaryota; Viridiplantae; Streptophyta; Magnoliopsida; Malpighiales; Euphorbiaceae. The record is from RNAcentral.